This 1524-nucleotide long non-coding RNA is filed under the name Oryzias sinensis (Chinese medaka). Its description in RNAcentral is "lncRNA (ENSOSIG00000013186.1)". The record is from RNAcentral. Lineage: Eukaryota; Metazoa; Chordata; Actinopteri; Beloniformes; Adrianichthyidae.
GAUGGCGGCGGAUGAACGCCUUCUCCAAAUCCACAAACACACGUGGACAGGGUGUGCAAACUCCCUCGAACCCUCCAGCUCCCUGAAGUGGGUGUAGGGCACCCGCACAGUUGUUCCUGGAUCCUGGAUUCGACUAUCAGACAGACUCUCCCUGCCAUUGACUUUCCCUGGGAGGCUGAGGAGUGUGAUUCCCUGGUAGUUGUACCACACCUUCCGGUCCCCCUUCUUGAAAAGGGGAACCACUACCCAGUCCAGUGGUACAGUUCCUGACUGCCACGUGAUGCUGCAGAGACGUGUCAGCCAAGACACUCCCGCAGAACUCAGAGACUUGAGGGCGGACAUCAUCCACUCCCGGACCCCUGCCACAGAGGAACUCAUUGACCACCUCAGUGACUUCAGCUUUGGGUGAUGGACAGCCCCGUCCCCAAAGUCCUCAGCCUCUGUUUCCUGAAGAGAAGGCAUUUCAAUGGGAUUGAGGAGAUCCAUGAAGUAUUCCUUCCACUGCCAAACAGUCAACAGCUCCCCACCUGCACUGAACUUUUGAGUUGAAAACUGAUUUGAAAUGUUCUCUUUUUUUUCAAAUUUACUUUCAGUUUUUUAUUCACUUUAAGCUGAUCCGGAUUUGACCUCAUACUCAAACAGGUAGCUAAUAGGAAUUCUUCUACAUGGUCUAGUAGUUGUUUUCAUGCAGCAGAACUGGUCUUUUUUUCACAAAACUUCUUCAAAGGUAUGACUUUAAAAGACAAAGAAAAAUGUGGCCUUGUGUUGUCAAAUCCUGAGAACAGCUCAGGUUUUCUGGUGUUUUGCAUUUAUCAACCGACCUUCAAAGUAAUGGACUAAACACAAGGAUUCAUGGAUGCCUGCAUACUAAUUUAUGUGUUUCUUGCUCACAGCCCAUUGUCACUACCCUGCCAAAGAAGAGUGGGGGGGCCGGAGUCUCGUAAAUCAAAGCGUCGCGUGAUGGAGACGCAGGCCUGUCCACCUCCUGUUCCUGCCAACUCCAUUGAGCUACUGCCAUGUUGCCAUGGCUACAUGGGAGGGGCCAACCUUUACAACUCCAGGAUAUCAGAGGAAGACCUCAACGGAAGCCCUUCUCCGAAGCGGAUGUACGCUCUGUACCACACCGCUUACAGUGGAAAUACUGCACUUCCCACCAACUUCCAUCACUACAACAGUUUGGAGGACAACUGCCGUUUACCCCCCUCCUGUUUGUCCUACCCCCUCAACUCCGAUGGCAACCACCACCACCACCACCAGCAGCAGCAGCAGCAGCACUACCACAGCCACCAACACCAGCCGGGGCAGAAGCCUCUGGAGCCCCUCAUUUUACGGGACCCGCCUCCUUGUCAGGCUGGUGCGGGUGGAGCAGGAGGAGGUGGAGUUGGGAUGGGACUGGAAGGAGGGGAUGGGACUGUUGGCAGAAGCUGGGGAGGGGGGGAGGCGGUGAGGAUCUUGGCAAAACGCAUCACACCAGAUGGGAAGGUACAGUACCUGGUGGAAUGGGAGAACAUGAGUUUGUACUGA